CUUUGGUAGGCACUCAAUCAUUCAUCUUUUUCUUCUUCUUUUUCUUUGUUUAUUACUUGUUCUUCGUUUGGGGGUGAAGGAGGAACAUAUAGGUGAUAUGUUGUUGACAGAAGAUAGAGAGCACAGAUGAUGAUAUGCAAUUUCUUUUGUUUUUGAUAGACAUUUUACAGACCACUGUGCAUCUCACUCCAUUUGUGCUCUCUAUGCUUCUGUCAUCACCUUCUUUAGCUUUGCUGUCUCUUUUUUCUUGAUUUGUAGUUAAUUUUAUGUGUUGUUCUAUGUAAAAGUCUUUUAAAACUCUCAAGCAUUAUCUUAAAGUUGUGAAUUUGUGUCACUUGAGCGAUUAGUGAGCUGUUUGUCCUAAGAAAUGAGCUGAUUCCUGUGUUGGGUGUUUUGUGUUUUAGUUCAAAUUGUGCAAUUUUCAAGUCUUGUUUGGCAAGGGUUUUGAGUUUCACAUUCUUACAUCUUUUCUUCAACUUUCCCUUUUCAUCUUCUAACGCUUCUGGUCCUCCUAUGGAUUGUGAGGUUUCAUAUCGGCUAGACAAGGGAACGAAACAUUCCUUAUCAGAGUCAGUCACCGGAUGAAGCAAGACCCUCUUCAUAGUACCUUGAGGGGAGACAAUAUCUGCUGCUAACGGUCAAACGACUCAUUUUUUGGUGAAUUGAGCAAAGAAAGGAUCAUAGAUACACUUGAUGAAAUGAUGAAGGGGUGCAGCAUAUCUUAAGAGAGUAAAGAGGAAUAUUCCUCAAAAGAGAAGCAAAAAAACGAGGCUCACACGGAUCCUUCUCAGACAUCUUGAUCCAGUGGGUUUGAGACAAGAUUGAUAUUAAUGAUGUAUUAAUGUUUCACCAUGUUAUGCAUGUGGAUUAAGAGACAUAAUCCUUAUUAGUGUUCUUUGUUAUGCAUGAAGAAGGAGUUGUUUUUGUUGGUGGAUUGAUGAGUAGCUAAUGAGAGACAGUGACAGCCCUUUGUGUGUGUUGUUGGAGCAAAUAAGAAGCACACAAAAGAGGAAAGAUUCCACUCGACUCUGCCCUAGUGGUCUCCCCCCUCCACCCACUUUCACUCACUUAACUCAUCUCCUUCAUUCAUAACAUGUACCCAACUUUGGAAUCAUAAUAUUCAAACUGCCUUCUAUUUCUCUCUCUUAAU
Cucurbita maxima (winter squash) is the source of this 1150-nucleotide long non-coding RNA. RefSeq lists it as uncharacterized. NCBI's taxonomy places the organism in Eukaryota, Viridiplantae, Streptophyta, Magnoliopsida, Cucurbitales, Cucurbitaceae. The transcript has 2 exons. The record is from RefSeq and is a predicted model, not a curated record.